CAGUCGCCGCGGGAAUACGUAGGGUGCAAGCGUUAAUCGGAAUUACUGGGCGUAAAGCGUGCGUAGGCGGCUUCUUAAGUCGGAUGUGAAAUCCCUGAGCUUAACUUAGGAAUUGCAUUCGAUACUGGGAAGCUAGAGUAUGGGAGAGGAUGGUAGAAUUCCAGGUGUAGCGGUGAAAUGCGUAGAGAUCUGGAGGAAUACCGAUGGCGAAGGCAGCCAUCUGGCCUAAUACUGACGCUGAGGUACGAAAGCAUGGGGAGCAAACAGGAUUAGAUACCCCUGUAGUCCCUGUCUCUUAUAC
This 301-nucleotide ribosomal RNA is filed under the name uncultured bacterium. RNAcentral describes it as "partial 16S ribosomal RNA". It matches the Rfam family "Bacterial small subunit ribosomal RNA", at positions 509 to 807 of the family's 1533-position model. The record is from RNAcentral.